GUUCUUGUAGUUGAAAGUACAAUAGCGGUUUUUCAUAUCGUUGGUCUCAAGUUGUUGAGUGAGAAUA
RNAcentral lists this transfer RNA (67 nucleotides) under Myxine glutinosa (Atlantic hagfish). Its description in RNAcentral is "transfer RNA-Glu". The record is from RNAcentral. Lineage: Eukaryota; Metazoa; Chordata; Myxini; Myxiniformes; Myxinidae.